UACGUAGGGCGCAAGCGUUGUCCGGAAUUAUUGGGCGUAAAGAGCUCGUAGGCGGCUUGUCGCGUCGGUUGUGAAAGCCCGGGGCUUAACCCCGGGUCUGCAGUCGAUACGGGCAGGCUAGAGUUCGGUAGGGGAGAUCGGAAUUCCUGGUGUAGCGGUGAAAUGCGCAGAUAUCAGGAGGAACACCGGUGGCGAAGGCGGAUCUCUGGGCCGAUACUGACGCUGAGGAGCGAAAGCGUGGGGAGCGAACAGGAUUAGAUACCCUGGUAGUCCACGCCGUAAACGGUGGGCACUAGGUGUGGGCAACAUUCCACGUUGUCCGUGCCGCAGCUAACGCAUUAAGUGCCCCGCCUGGGGAGUACGGCCGCAAGGCUAAA
This 377-nucleotide ribosomal RNA is filed under the name uncultured bacterium. RNAcentral's name for it is "bacterial SSU rRNA". It matches the Rfam family "Bacterial small subunit ribosomal RNA", at positions 524 to 898 of the family's 1533-position model. The record is from RNAcentral.